ACGGGAGACACACGGCGGGUGCUAACGUCCGUCGUGAAGAGGGAAACAACCCAGACCGCCAGCUAAGGUCCCAAAGUCAUGGUUAAGUGGGAAACGAUGUGGGAAGGCCCAGACAGCCAGGAUGUUGGCUUAGAAGCAGCCAUCAUUUAAAGAAAGCGUAAUAGCUCACUGGUCGAGUCGGCCUGCGCGGAAGAUGUAACGGGGCUAAACCAUGCACCGAAGCUGCGGCAGCGACACUAUGUGUUGUUGGGUAGGGGAGCGUUCUGUAAGCCUGUGAAGGUGUGCUGUGAGGCAUGCUGGAGGUAUCAGAAGUGCGAAUGCUGACAUAAGUAACGAUAAAGCGGGUGAAAAGCCCGCUCGCCGGAAGACCAAGGGUUCCUGUCCAACGUUAAUCGGGGCAGGGUGAGUCGACCCCUAAGGCGAGGCCGAAAGGCGUAGUCGAUGGGAAACAGGUUAAUAUUCCUGUACUUGGUGUUACUGCGAAGGGGGGACGGAGAAGGCUAUGUUGGCCGGGCGACGGUUGUCCCGGUUUAAGCGUGUAGGCUGAUUUUCCAGGCAAAUCCGGAAAAUCAAGGCUGAGGCGUGAUGACGAGGCACUACGGUGCUGAAGCAACAAAUGCCCUGCUUCCAGGAAAAGCCUCUAAGCAUCAGGUAACAUCAAAUCGUACCCCAAACCGACACAGGUGGUCAGGUAGAGAAUACCAAGGCGCUUGAGAGAACUCGGGUGAAGGAACUAGGCAAAAUGGUGCCGUAACUUCGGGAGAAGGCACGCUGAUAUGUAGGUGAAGCGACUUGCUCGUGGAGCUGAAAUCAGUCGAAGAUACCAGCUGGCUGCAACUGUUUAUUAAAAACACAGCACUGUGCAAACACGAAAGUGGACGUAUACGGUGUGACGCCUGCCCGGUGCCGGAAGGUUAAUUGAUGGGGUUAGCGGUAACGCGAAGCUCUUGAUCGAAGCCCCGGUAAACGGCGGCCGUAACUAUAACGGUCCUAAGGUAGCGAAAUUCCUUGUCGGGUAAGUUCCGACCUGCACGAAUGGCGUAAUGAUGGCCAGGCUGUCUCCACCCGAGACUCAGUGAAAUUGAACUCGCUGUGAAGAUGCAGUGUACCCGCGGCAAGACGGAAAGACCCCGUGAACCUUUACUAUAGCUUGACACUGAACAUUGAGCCUUGAUGUGUAGGAUAGGUGGGAGGCUUUGAAGUGUGGACGCCAGUCUGCAUGGAGCCGACCUUGAAAUACCACCCUUUAAUGUUUGAUGUUCUAACGUUGGCCCGUUAUCCGGGUUGCGGACAGUGUCUGGUGGGUAGUUUGACUGGGGCGGUCUCCUCCUAAAGAGUAACGGAGGAGCACGAAGGUUGGCUAAUCCUGGUCGGACAUCAGGAGGUUAGUGCAAUGGCAUAAGCCAGCUUGACUGCGAGCGUGACGGCGCGAGCAGGUGCGAAAGCAGGUCAUAGUGAUCCGGUGGUUCUGAAUGGAAGGGCCAUCGCUCAACGGAUAAAAGGUACUCCGGGGAUAACAGGCUGAUACCGCCCAAGAGUUCAUAUCGACGGCGGUGUUUGGCACCUCGAUGUCGGCUCAUCACAUCCUGGGGCUGAAGUAGGUCCCAAGGGUAUGGCUGUUCGCCAUUUAAAGUGGUACGCGAGCUGGGUUUAGAACGUCGUGAGACAGUUCGGUCCCUAUCUGCCGUGGGCGCUGGAGAACUGAGGGGGGCUGCUCCUAGUACGAGAGGACCGGAGUGGACGCAUCACUGGUGUUCGGGUUGUCAUGCCAAUGGCACUGCCCGGUAGCUAAAUGCGGAAGAGAUAAGUGCUGAAAGCAUCUAAGCACGAAACUUGCCCCGAGAUGAGUUCUCCCUGACUCCUUGAGAGUCCUGAAGGAACGUUGAAGACGACGACGUUGAUAGGCCGGGUGUGUAAGCGCAGCGAUGCGUUGAGCUAACCGGUACUAAUGAACCGUGAGGCUUAACCUU
RNAcentral lists this ribosomal RNA (1970 nucleotides) under Escherichia coli. Its description in RNAcentral is "partial 23S ribosomal RNA". It matches the Rfam family "Bacterial large subunit ribosomal RNA", at positions 977 to 2925 of the family's 2925-position model. The record is from RNAcentral. Lineage: Bacteria; Pseudomonadati; Pseudomonadota; Gammaproteobacteria; Enterobacterales; Enterobacteriaceae.